UAACUUGUAUUUUGUGCAAAUAAUAUGAUAAAUCGAACAUCAAUCUCUUCACAUUAUUUGAUCUAAAAAUAUAUCAAUCUUCCCAAACAUGUAUUUUGUGGAGGGAAAGAGAGAGAGAGAGAGAGAGAGCGAGAGGAUGAAUUGUUGUUGUUUCCGCGGGUGCAUGGCUAGUGGCCGGGGCCUCCGGGGCUCGGCCCCGACGGCAGCCUCGCCAUCCACGCCGCCACAGCCGCUCUCGCCUUCUCGUACACGCUCGGGUGCGCCAAGUAGCUCUCUCCGUCGAAGCAGUCCGGCGCCGGCCUCGCCGCAUCAACUCCUCCCCCAGCGCCCGUCAUGACGACGGCCAUGAUCGAGACGACGAUCACCAGCAGCAUCGCGCAGGUCCUUCGACACCCCAUGCAAGCAGAACCUUCAGCUCUUCCUAACACUGUGAGGCUAUAGGUCGAGCACAAGUUUGGAUGCAUGGGAAUGGGAUCGAGGAGUAUAUAUAGACACGUAUUAGCAAAAAGUCUCACUGCAUCGAAGGCUUGGUCAGGUAUGAGUUAUUGUUGGUGUUGACCGAGCAGAAUUGACUGUCACGCUGCGAAGUUGCUCUUCCUCUGCGAGAGCCGAUGAGAUGGUGGUGACAGCUGCGUUGAAUCCGUCUGCAGCAACAAGUAGUAAAUUAAAUUAGCCAUUAGAUCUAUCAAAGGAAUUGACUAUGUAACCCCUUGAUUUAGUCUCACA
Molecule: long non-coding RNA, 726 nt
Filed under: Musa acuminata (dwarf banana)
Lineage: Eukaryota; Viridiplantae; Streptophyta; Magnoliopsida; Zingiberales; Musaceae
Description: long non-coding RNA (MACU_LNC006518)
Source: RNAcentral